AACGAACGCUGGCGGCAUGCCUAACACAUGCAAGUCGAACGAGACCUUCGGGUCUAGUGGCGCACGGGUGCGUAACGCGUGGGAACCUGCCCUUAGGUUCGGAAUAACUCCCCGAAAGGGGUGCUAAUACCGGAUAAUGUCUUCGGACCAAAGAUUUAUCGCCUUUGGAUGGGCCCGCGUUGGAUUAGCUAGUUGGUAGGGUAAAAGCCUACCAAGGCGACGAUCCAUAGCUGGUCUGAGAGGAUGAUCAGCCACACUGGGACUGAGACACGGCCCAGACUGCGGAGGUAGACGGAAGUUGGGAAUCUGAGACCUGGGGCGAACGGCUGGUCAAGGCAGGUCGCGUGUGAGGUGAAGUCCGUAGGGUAGUAAAUCUGUUGUACCGGAAAGGACAAUAACAGCACGGGGAGAAUAAGCAUCGGAAAACGCCGUGCCAGACGCCACGAAAUAGACACCAGCAACCGUCUGAAC
RNAcentral lists this ribosomal RNA (471 nucleotides) under uncultured bacterium. Its description in RNAcentral is "partial 16S ribosomal RNA". It matches the Rfam family "Bacterial small subunit ribosomal RNA", at positions 35 to 539 of the family's 1533-position model. The record is from RNAcentral.